Molecule: long non-coding RNA, 1207 nt
Organism: Daphnia pulex (common water flea)
Lineage: Eukaryota; Metazoa; Arthropoda; Branchiopoda; Diplostraca; Daphniidae
Exons: 5
Source: RefSeq, a predicted model, not a curated record
AGACAUGUGACAGCUGACAGGGAUAUAAACGUAACGUGACAAUCGACUUGAAGCCCGUAUGAUAAAAUAAAAUUGAUAGUCAAAGUAGUAGUACACUCGCUUCCAUAAAUAUGUAGGCCACCGCCCGCGGGUUGUACCGCUUCAAAUUGAAGUAGCUACUCCAAUUAAGAACUCACUACCUAGUUCUGAAAAAAAGGUCUCAGCGUUUAAGAGAUUUGAAAGUCGAUUGGGAUCUCCCAGUCCCAGCUGGCGUUUCGCAGCUAACGCUGUCAUCAGUUAAACGAACUUAUGGGAGAACCUGUAAAAACCUACUAGUCACUGAAACCAGUAGAAGCUAGAAGUUCUGAUACUCCUAUAGAAGACAGUAUUGUCUCUACUGAAUAUGAGAACGAAAAAAAACGUCUGAGUGCCAUAUCUUUCGUUGAUUGUUGGGCCAUCUGUAGCCUGUCUAUCGAAUAUUGAUGCUUCUUCGACGACCCACAGUUACGAUUGAAGAUAGUCACAGUUCUGGAACUCUUUUGGGACAGCAGCGUCUCUAUAGAAUAUGACGAAAACGCCGCAAAUUUGAAGAAAAAGCGUGCCAUCGUUCAUUGUUGGACCGUCUUUAGCCAGUCUAUCGAACAGUGAAGCUUCUUCGACUAGAUUACCCACAGUUCUGAUGGAAGAAAGUCGAAGUUCUAAUACUCCUGUAGGAGACAGCAUCGUCUCUAUUGAAUAUGACCAGAAUGACCCAGGAUCGAAGAAAAAGCAUAUAGUACCGCCGUUGAUUGUUGGACCAUCUCUAGCUUGUCUUAUUUUUCUUUUCAGAAUUAUCAUCCUGUUGGAGUAAUAUUGUAGGAUAGAAUAGAAGUCACUGUAUGUUAUCACCGAACGCUAUCAAUCUCCAGUAAAAGAAGUGCUGAUAGGUAGUUACUUACAUUUAAUUUUAACAAGAUCCGGUGUGACGUGGGGUGGCGGGGCGAAGCCUCCGCCGCACCAAAGUCACGCCUUACCCUUACGCCGCGCCAUAUCAUAUUAGGUUUUUUGGAAUUGAAUUUGUAUUUAAUGUUUGGAUAGAAACAUGCGGAAAUAUGCUUUUCAUCUCUUUCUCGAUUUCUGCCUAUUACAUUCUUCCGGAAACUAAGGGCAUAACAUUUUUUUUGGCUCUUCCCUAGCAAGACAAGUUUUCUGCUAUCGAAAAACGAUUAAUACAGGGGUGUAGAUCUUU